This 857-nucleotide ribosomal RNA is filed under the name uncultured bacterium. RNAcentral describes it as "bacterial SSU rRNA". It matches the Rfam family "Bacterial small subunit ribosomal RNA", at positions 28 to 897 of the family's 1533-position model. The record is from RNAcentral.
GAUGAACGCUGGCGGCGUGCUAAUCACAUGCAAGUUGACCGGUGAAGGGGAGCUUGCUUCCUGGAUCAGUGGCGAUCGGGUGAGUAACACGUGAGCAAUCUGCCCCUGACUCUGGGAUAAGCGCUGGAAACGGCGUCUAAUACUGGAUAUGAGCUGCGACCGCAUGGUCAGCAGUUGGAAAGAAUUUCGGUCAGGGAUGAGCUCGCGGCCUAUCAGCUUGUUGGUGAGGUAAUGGCUCACCAAGGCGUCGACGGGUAGCCGGCCUGAGAGGGUGACCGGCCACACUGGGACUGAGACACGGCCCAGACUCCUACGGGAGGCAGCAGUGGGGAAUAUUGCACAAUGGGCGCAAGCCUGAUGCAGCAACGCCGCGUGAGGGACGACGGCCUUCGGGUUGUAAACCUCUUUUAGCAGGGAAGAAGCGAAAGUGACGGUACCUGCAGAAAAAGCACCGGCUAACUACGUGCCAGCAGCCGCGGUAAUACGUAGGGUGCAAGCGUUAUCCGGAAUUAUUGGGCGUAAAGAGCUCGUAGGCGGUUUGUCGCGUCUGCUGUGAAAUCUGGGGGCUCAACCCCCAGCCUGCAGUGGGUACGGGCAGACUAGAGUGCGGUAGGGGAGAUUGGAAUUCCUGGUGUAGCGGUGGAAUGCGCAGAUAUCAGGAGGAACACCGAUGGCGAAGGCAGAUCUCUGGGCCGUAACUGACGCUGAGGAGCGAAAGGGUGGGGAGCAAACAGGCUUAGAUACCCUGGUAGUCCACCCCGUAAACGUUGGGAACUAGUUGUGGGGUCCAUUCCACGGAUUCCGUGACGCAGCUAACGCAUUAAGUUCCCCGCCUGGGGAGUACGCCGUCAAGGCUA